UACGGAGGAUCCAAGCGUUAUCCGGAAUCAUUGGGUUUAAAGGGUCCGUAGGCGGUUUGGUAAGUCAGUGGUGAAAGCCCAUCGCUCAACGAUGGAACGGCCAUUGAUACUGCCAGACUUGAAUUACUGGGAAGUAACUAGAAUAUGUAGUGUAGCGGUGAAAUGCUUAGAUAUUACAUGGAAUAUCAAUUGCGAAGGCAGGUUACUACCAGUGGAUUGACGCUGAUGGACGAAAGCGUGGGGAGCGAACAGGAUUAGAUACCCUGGUAGUCCACGCCGUAAACGAUGGAUACUAGCUGUUCGGAGCAAUCUGAGUGGCUAAGCGAAAGUGAUAAGUAUCCCACCUGGGGAGUACGUUCGCAAGAAUGAA
RNAcentral lists this ribosomal RNA (370 nucleotides) under uncultured bacterium. Its description in RNAcentral is "bacterial SSU rRNA". It matches the Rfam family "Bacterial small subunit ribosomal RNA", at positions 524 to 898 of the family's 1533-position model. The record is from RNAcentral.